CCUACGGGAGGCAGCAGUGAGGAAUAUUGGUCAAUGGCCGGAAGGCUGAACCAGCCAUGCCGCGUGAAGGUCAGUGCCCUAUGGGCGUUAAACUUCUUUUGUGCGGGAGCAAUAAUGGUCACGUGUGGCCAGACGAGAGUACCGUACGAAUAAGCAUCGGCUAACUGCGGGCCAGAAGCCGCGGUAAUACGGGGGAUGCAAGCGUUAUCCGGUUUUAUUGGUUUUAAAGGGUGCGUAGGCUAGGAGGUAAGUCAGAGGUGAAAUGCCCCCGCUCAACGGGGUGAAGGGCCAUUGCUACUGCCUUGCUGGAAUGCGGAUGCCGUGGGAGGAAUGUGUGGUGUAGCGGUGAAAGGCAUAGAUAUCACACAGAACACCGAUUGCGAAGGCAUCUCACGAAUCCGCGAUUGACGCUGAUGCACGAAAGCGUGGGUAUCAAACAGGAUUAGAUACCCCAGUAGUC
This 460-nucleotide ribosomal RNA is filed under the name uncultured bacterium. RNAcentral's name for it is "partial 16S ribosomal RNA". It matches the Rfam family "Bacterial small subunit ribosomal RNA", at positions 338 to 795 of the family's 1533-position model. The record is from RNAcentral.